GACGUAGGGCGCGAGCGUUGUCCGGAAUUAUUGGGCGUAAAGAGCUCGUAGGCGGUCUGUCGCGUCGGUCGUGAAAACCUGCAGCUUAACUGUGGGCGUGCGGUCGAUACGGGCAUGACUGGAGUUCGGCAGGGGAGACUGGAAUUCCUGGUGUAGCGGUGAAAUGCGCAGAUAUCAGGAGGAACACCGGUGGCGAAGGCGGGUCUCUGGGCCGAUACUGACGCUGAGGAGCGAAAGCGUGGGGAGCGAACAGG
RNAcentral lists this ribosomal RNA (254 nucleotides) under uncultured bacterium. Its description in RNAcentral is "partial 16S ribosomal RNA". It matches the Rfam family "Bacterial small subunit ribosomal RNA", at positions 524 to 776 of the family's 1533-position model. The record is from RNAcentral.